This 526-nucleotide long non-coding RNA is filed under the name Homo sapiens (human). RNAcentral's name for it is "HSALNT0401081". The record is from RNAcentral. Lineage: Eukaryota; Metazoa; Chordata; Mammalia; Primates; Hominidae.
AGUUGAGUUUUCUGGGUACACAGCAGCCCUUGGCUUUCCAUCCCAUGUGCAGCCUCUGGCCCAGCACUUAGUCCACUCUCAGUCAUAGAGCUUAUCACACAGACUUGCUCCAGUGCCCACUUGUCCAACUGCCCCAAACUCCUGGAAACCAGAAAGAACACAGAUGUAUCUCAACUGAGUGCCUACCAUAUUUCUACAGGAGGAACUGUCUUCGCAUAAAAGCCCCUCUGCAGCUCCUUAAGCCCCCACCACCACGGAAGGAAUAUACUUCCUCACCCUGUUGAUAUUGCACUUGGCCACGUGACUUGCUUUGGCCAUGAGAAUAUGUGUGGAAGUCACAGGGGCCAGGCCCAAGGCACAAAGUGUUUCCAUUCAUCCCUUUGAGCAACUGUCCUCGGCCAUGAGAACCACAAGUCCCAGACAGUGGAGGCUCCUUCAGCCUGGACUCCAAAUGAGAAGAUAUAUGAGACAGCCACCUACUCACCCCAAAGCCUGGAGCCCAGCCCAGCUAGCCCCAGAAAGCCCU